Molecule: transfer RNA, 69 nt
Filed under: Megaerops niphanae (Ratanaworabhan's fruit bat)
Lineage: Eukaryota; Metazoa; Chordata; Mammalia; Chiroptera; Pteropodidae
Description: tRNA-Glu
Rfam family: tRNA
About the family: Transfer RNA (tRNA) molecules are approximately 80 nucleotides in length. Their secondary structure includes four short double-helical elements and three loops (D, anti-codon, and T loops).
Source: RNAcentral
GUUCUUAUAGUUGAAGUACAACGGUGGUUUUUCAUGCCAUUAGUCACGGUGAGAGGCCGUGUAGGAAUA